UCAUUUUCUCUUGCAGCCGCCAUGAUUCUGAGGCCUUCCCAGCUAUGUGGAACUAUGACUGUGAUGAUCCUCUUGUGUCUGCCUUGCCUCAGGCAUCCUUCAGCAGUUCUUCCGAGCUCUCCAGCAGUCAUGGUCCUGGAUUUGCAAGGCUGAAUAGAAGAGAUGGAGCUGGUGGCUGGUCUCCACUUGUGUCUAACAAAUACCAGUGGUUGCAGAUUGACCUUGGAGAGAGAAUGGAGGUCACCGCUGUGGCCACUCAAGGGGGAUAUGGUAGCUCCAACUGGGUGACCAGCUACCUCCUGAUGUUCAGUGAUAGUGGCUGGAACUGGAAACAAUAUCGCCAAGAGGACAGCAUCUGGGGUUUUUCAGGAAAUGCAAAUGCAGACAGUGUUGUGUACUAUAGACUCCAGCCUUCUAUCAAAGCCAGAUUUCUGCGCUUCAUCCCUUUGGAAUGGAACCCCAAGGGCAGAAUUGGAAUGCGAAUCGAAGUGUUCGGAUGUGCAUACAGAUCAGAAGUGGUUGAUCUUGAUGGAAAAAGUUCCCUUCUCUACAGAUUUGAUCAAAAAUCCCUGAGCCCAAUAAAAGACAUUAUUUCUUUGAAAUUCAAAACCAUGCAGAGUGAUGGGAUUCUACUCCACAGGGAAGGGCCAAAUGGAGAUCACAUCAUACUGCAAUUAAGAAGAGGAAGACUCUUUUUACUUAUUAAUUCAGGUGAAGCUAAACUGCCUUCCACUUCCACCCUGGUCAAUCUCACCCUGGGCAGCCUGCUAGAUGAUCAGCAUUGGCAUUCAGUGCUCAUCCAGCGUUUGGGCAAACAAGUCAACUUCACAGUGGACGAACACAGGCAUCAUUUCCAUGCACAGGGAGAAUUCAAUCUCAUGAAUCUUGAUUAUGAGAUCAGCUUUGGAGGGAUUCCAGCACCUGGAAAAUCAGUGUCAUUCCCACAUAGAAAUUUUCAUGGAUGUUUAGAAAAUCUCUAUUAUAAUGGAGUGGAUAUCAUUGAUUUGGCCAAGCAGCAAAAACCACAGAUCAUUGCUAUGGGAAAUGUGUCAUUUUCUUGUUCACAACCACAAUCUAUGCCCGUGACUUUUCUGAGCUCCAGGAGUUAUUUAGCACUGCCAGACUUCUCUGGAGAGGAGGAGGUUUCUGCCACUUUUCAAUUUCGAACUUGGAAUAAGGCAGGGCUUCUGCUGUUCAGUGAACUUCAGCUGAUUUCAGGGGGUAUCCUCCUCUUUCUGAGUGAUGGAAAACUUAAGUCGAAUCUCUACCAGCCAGGAAAAUUACCCAGUGACAUCACAGCAGGUGUCGGAUUAAAUGAUGGGCAGUGGCAUUCUGUCUCUUUAUCUGCUAAAAAGAAUCACUUGAGUGUGGCGGUGGACGGCCAGAUGGCUUCUGCUGCUCCUCUCCUGGGGCCUGAGCAGAUUUAUUCAGGUGGCACCUAUUAUUUUGGAGGUUGUCCUGACAAAAGCUUUGGAUCCAAAUGUAAAAGUCCACUUGGUGGAUUUCAGGGAUGUAUGAGGCUCAUUUCUAUCAGCGGCAAAGUGGUAGAUCUGAUUUCAGUUCAGCAGGGGUCCCUUGGGAACUUCAGUGACCUUCAGAUAGACUCAUGUGGCAUCUCAGACAGGUGUUUGCCCAACUAUUGUGAACACGGUGGGGAGUGUUCCCAGUCCUGGAGCACCUUUCAUUGUAACUGUACCAACACUGGUUACAGAGGAGCUACUUGCCAUAACUCUAUCUAUGAGCAGUCAUGUGAAGCCUAUAAGCACAGAGGAAAUACUUCAGGGUUUUACUAUAUAGAUUCAGAUGGAAGUGGUCCCCUGGAACCAUUUCUUCUAUAUUGCAAUAUGACCGAAACUGCAUGGACCAUCAUACAGCACAACGGCUCUGACUUAACAAGAGUCAGAAAUACUAAUCCAGAGAACCCAUAUGCUGGGUUUUUCGAGUAUGUGGCCAGCAUGGAGCAACUUCAGGCCGCUAUUAACCGUGCAGAGCACUGUGAACAGGAGUUUACUUAUUACUGCAAGAAGUCACGGCUGGUCAAUAAGCAAGAUGGAACCCCUCUGAGUUGGUGGGUAGGAAGAACCAAUGAAACGCAAACCUACUGGGGAGGUUCUUCGCCUGAUCUUCAAAAAUGUACUUGUGGAUUAGAGGGAAACUGCAUUGAUUCUCAGUAUUACUGCAAUUGUGAUGCUGACCGGAAUGAAUGGUGAUUUCCAUAUGAUUUCUUUAUGCAAGAAAAAGUUCAUUUAAAAAAAUUAAUCACUCAAAGUAUGUAUAGCUAGCCAGAUACUGAACAAGUUAGUGCAAUGAAGUAAUUAAAUAAAGGUUUGUUUUAAUG
RNAcentral lists this small RNA (2338 nucleotides) under Pan troglodytes (chimpanzee). Its description in RNAcentral is "retained intron". The record is from RNAcentral. Lineage: Eukaryota; Metazoa; Chordata; Mammalia; Primates; Hominidae.